CUGGCGGCGUGCUUAACACAUGCAAAUCNAACGAUGAAGCCGCUUCGGUGGUGGAUUASUGGCGAACGGGUGAGUAACACGUGGGCAAUCUGCCCUGCACUCUGGGACAAGCCCUGGAAACGGGGUCUAAUACCGGAUAUGACCUGGUGAGGCAUCUCAUCGGGUGGAAAGCUCCGGCGGUGCAGGAUGAGCCCGCGGCCUAUCAGCUUGUUGGUGGGGUGAUGGCCUACCAAGGCGACGACGGGUAGCCGGCCUGAGAGGGCGACCGGCCACACUGGGACUGAGACACGGCCCAGACUCCUACGGGAGGCAGCAGUGGGGAAUAUUGCACAAUGGGCGAAAGCCUGAUGCAGCGACGCCGCGUGAGGGAUGACGGCCUUCGGGUUGUAAACCUCUUUCAGCAGGGAAGAAGCGAGAGUGACGGUACCUGCAGAAGAAGCGCCGGCUAACUACGUGCCAGCAGCCGCGGUAAUACGUAGGGCGCAAGCGUUGUCCGGAAUUAUUGGGCGUAAAGAGCUCGUGGGCGGCUUGUCACGUCGGAUGUGAAAGCCCGGGGCUUAACCCCGGGUCUGCAUUCGAUACGGGCAGGCUAGAGUUCGGUAGGGGAGAUCGGAAUUCCUGGUGUAGCGGUGAAACGCGCAGAUAUCAGGAGGAA
This 655-nucleotide ribosomal RNA is filed under the name uncultured soil bacterium. Its description in RNAcentral is "bacterial SSU rRNA". It matches the Rfam family "Bacterial small subunit ribosomal RNA", at positions 36 to 706 of the family's 1533-position model. The record is from RNAcentral.